RNA transcript from Cygnus olor (mute swan), 8045 nucleotides. It is a transcript of the gene named golgin A4, with no coding region annotated. The record is from RefSeq and is a predicted model, not a curated record. The transcript has 26 exons. Lineage: Eukaryota; Metazoa; Chordata; Aves; Anseriformes; Anatidae.
GGAGGGCAUUUUGUGCCUCGCCUCGCCCCGUAGCGACCGGGCCGCCGGGUUCCACGUCGGCCGCGCAGGCGCAGCAGCGCCUCCGCUCACCUGCUGCGGGGAGGGGGCCGAGAGGAGGAGGAGGAGGAGGAGGAGGAGGGGGCGGCGGCGGCGGCGGCGGCGGCGGGGGGAGGAGGAGGAGGAGGAGGAGGAGGAGGAGGAAGGCCGCGCCGCGCCGCCAUGUUCAAGAAGCUGAAGCAGAAGAUCAGCGAGGAGCAGGCGCCGCCGCGCCGGGCCGCCCCCCUGCAGCCGCAGGGAGCUGCGGAGCGGGCCCCUUCCAAGUCCCCUCCACUGUCUGACAAAAGAAGUAGAACAUCUUCAUUUACAGAUCAGAAUGAUGAAGGCUCCUUAACUCCAGACAAAGAGCUGCUAGCCGGGAUGAUAGCAGAACCUGCUUUUCUCUCUGAGUAUACUAUCUUUGCUUUGGAUCCCACCAAACAACCUAAGCCACAGAGUGACAGUGUGAAUUUACCUAAGCAACCAAUUCCCAGAUCUGCAGAAAACAAUGGAAGUGAACCAGCCUCUCCACAGCCAAGUGACACUCAGUCUUUCGCCCAGCGCCUUCAGCUCCGUGUGCCCUCCAUGGAGUCAUUAUUUCGAAGCCCAGUAAAAGAGUCCCUGUUCCGCUCUUCUUCUAAAGAGUCCCUGGUACGAACGUCCUCAAGAGAUUCACUGAAUCGGCUGGACGUGGAUGCAGCUGGUCCCACCUUCGAUCCACCUUCUGACAUCGAAAGCGAGACUGAGGAGGCCCCAGGAAAUGCAGACAGCCUCAGCAAGGAACAGCUACUGCAGCGACUGCGCCGAAUGGAGCGCAGCUUGGGCAACUACAGAGGAAAAUAUGCAGAGCUAGUGUCUGCUUAUCAAGUUAUCCAGCGAGAGAAGAAGAAGCUACAGGGCAUUCUGAGUCAAAGUCAGGAUAAAGCACUUCGCAGAAUUGGAGAACUGAGAGAGGAGCUCCAGAUGGAUCAACAAGCUAAGAAACAUCUUCAGGAGGAAUUUGAUGCUUCCUUGGAAGAAAAAGAUCAACUUAUUAGUGUCUUGCAAACUCAGGUAUCGUUGCUGAAACAGAGGUUACAGAAUGGUCAGAUGGGCAUUGAAUUACCUGAUCCAAAUAUCCAGUCUGACCCACAAGUUCAAGGUCCAACAAAAGAAAUCAGUGCAGAAAAUAUUGCGGAACCAGGAAGCAAUGAGGGUAAUGAAGAUUCUGUUAAAACACUGGAAACUCUUAAUCAGAGGGUGAAGCGCCAAGAGAACUUGCUGCAGCGCUGUAAGGAGAUGAUUCGGUCACACAAAGAGCGCUGUGCCCAGCUAACCAACGAGAAGGAGGCGCUUCAGGAGCAAUUAGAAGAGAGACUUCAGGAGCUAGAGAAAAUGAAGGACCUCCACAUGGCUGAGAAGACUAAACUGAUUACACAGCUGCGUGAUGCAAAGAACUUGAUUGAGCAGCUAGAACAAGACAAGGGCAUGGUAAUUGCAGAGACAAAGCGACAAAUGCACGAAACAUUGGAAAUGAAGGAAGAAGAGGUAGCACAGUUGCGUGCUCGGAUCAAACAAAUAACUACAAAAGGCGAGGAAUUAAAAGAACAGAAAGAAAAGUCUGAAAAAGCUGCUUUUGAAGAGCUUGAGAAGGCUCUGAGUAUUGCCCAAAAAACAGAGGAAGCCCGGAAAAAAUUGCAGGCAGAAAUGGAUGAAAAAAUCAAAGCAGUAGAAAAGGCAAAUGAGGAAGAAAGGGUAAAUCUUCAACAGGAGUUAACCAGAGUGAAACAAGAGGUGGUUGAGAUUAUGAAGAAGUCUUCAGAAGAUCGUGUUGCUGAACUGGAAAAAUUACACAAAAAGGAAAUGGCUACCAAAGAUCGGGAGCUAAAUGAGAGAUUGCGGGUCCAAGAAAAGGAGUUCCAUGAGAAGAUGAAGGCAGCUCUUGAGAAAAAUCAGAGUGAGUGUUUAAAAACCCUUAAAGAACAAGAGCAACAGGAAUCCCUAGCCUUAGAAGAAUUAGAGCUGCAGAAGAAAGCAAUACAGGCAGAAUGUGACAAGAAGCUUCAGGAGAUGCAUCAAGAAGUAGAGGCUUCUAGAACUAAGAUCCUUGAAUUGGAGAGCUCUCUUGCAAAGUAUUCACAAGAUGACAGAGACCGAUCAGAGGAAUUGAGCACUCUGAUGGAGUCUGAAAAAAAGCAGCAUAAUAAGGAAAUUAAUGAUAUGGUUGAAAAACACAAGAAAGAAUUGGAGAACAUGCAACAGCAGCAGGGAAAGCUUUGGACAGAAAAACUUCAAAUUCUAAAGCAACAACAUGCAGUUGAAAUAGAAAAAAUGAGAGAAAAGCAAGAACAAGAAAUAGAUACAAUAUUGAAAGAGAAAGAAACAGUUUUCCGUACACAUAUAGAAGAGAUGAAUGAAAAAACUUUAGAAAAACUUGAUGUGAAACAAACUGAGUUAGAAGCACUGUCAUCUGAGCUAUCAGAAGCACUAAAAGUACGUCAUGAUUUAGAGAAAGAACUCUCAGAAUUGAAAAGUAAAGUAGGUGAAGCAAAGCAAGAAUUGGAAGGAAAGUUGGAAGAAGAGAGGAAUCAGCACAAAGAAGAGGUUGAACUUAUGUUAAAAGAGCAUGAGAUCUCUAUUCAAGGAGUUGAGAAGGUACUCAAAGAAGAACUGAAUCAACUCAAGCAAUUAUUGGAGGAGAAGGACAGACAUCUGGAGGAAAUAAAAGUACAUGAGCAGAAGCUAAAAGAAUCUGCAGAAAGAUCUGAAGCUGAACUUGUCCAAGUGUCCAAAAAACUAGAGGAGGUUUCGCAGUCUCAUCAGAAUACUUCUAAUGAGCAGGCAAGGACAUAUGAAGAGGAAUUAGCAAAGCUGCAGCACAAACUGACAGAUCUGGAAGGAGAAAAAUCACAAUUUAGGGAGCAGUUAGAAAGAGCUGAAUCCCAGCUGAAUGAAGUCAAGAAUGAGUUAGAAUCACACAUGUCCCAGCUACAUGACCUGAAGCAGCAUUUGCAAGAGCAAAGCAAUGAAAAUACACAGAAAGUAGCCUCUCUCACACAACAAUAUGAAUCUCAACUGAAGGAUCUACAAAGAGAGGCUGAUGAGACAAAGCAAAGUCUAACUGAGAAGGAAAAGGAAAUUGAACACAUGAAGAAGUUACAGAAUGAACAAGUUGAAGAGCUUAAACAGAAAUUGUUAGCCACAGAGGAAAGAACUAGUGCUUUACAAGGAGAAUGUGAAAAUAAACUGAAACGACAGGAAAAUAAAAUGGAGAAAAUGAAGCAGAAAUCAAAAGAUAUGCAGGAAGCCUUUAAAAAGAAAAUUGCCGAGCAGGAAUCUAAACUAAAAAGAGAGCUUGAAAACAAGCAGUUGGAGUUCAGUCAGAAAGAGAGCGAAUUCAAUGCUAAAAUGCUAGAAAUGGCACAUGCCAGCUCAGCCGGAAUCAAUGAUGCUGUGUCAAAACUGGAAUCUAAUCAGAAAGAGCAACUGGAGAGUCUUGCUGAGGCUCAUAGGAGGGAAUUGGAAGAAAUUACCCAGAGCUGGGAAAAGAAACUCAAUCAGCAGGUUGAAGAGCUCCAGGAAAAACAUGAAAUGGAACUGCAAGAGAAAGAGCAGGAAGUUGGAGACCUGAAACAGAAACUUGCCACCUUCAGUGCUGAGAAGGAGGGCUCCAGGACAGAAAUAACCCGACUGAAGGAAGAACAGGUGAAGAGGGAUGAGACCCUGAACCAAUUACAAGAACAGCUAAAGCAGUCAUUCGCUCAUGUGAAUGCUUUGUCAAAUAGUGAAAGUGACCUGAAAACACAGCUCCAGAAGUUGGAAGGUGAUCUUAGUCAGUCCCUGAAAGAGCAAUCAGGGCUUCAGGAACAGCUCAGUAAACAGAAAGCAAUCGAAGAAAAGGACAAAGCCAAAAUUACUGAGCUGGCUGAUAUGCUGAAAACACUUGAGGAGAAGCUCCAAACUGUGCAAUUUUCUCAAGAUAAAGAUCAUGAAAAUUAUGAGAAAAAAAUGAAGGCAUUUCAACAACAAGAAACUGAGUUUAAGAGGUUGUCGGGAGAGCUUGUAGCACAAUUGGAUGCUUAUUGGAAGAAUGCUGAAGAUCUGUUGCAAACGAAAAUCAGUGAAUUAAUUGAAAAGUGUAAUGAAAAAAUUGGUGUAGUAACAUGCAAAAUUGCAGAUUGUGAGCGCCAAACUACAAAAGUUAAAGAAGCGAUAUUAGCUAAAAUAAAUAAAAUUCUUGAGCUGGAAGCUCAACUUAGAGUAGUAACAGAGAAUCAUUCUGCUGCAAGUAGUUCUUUACAAAAGUCAAUGGAGCAACUGCAAGAGAAAGACAACUUAAUUAGGUCCAUGAGAGCUGAUAUUGAAGGACUUGUAGCAGAAAAGGAACAAUUGCAAAAAGAAGGAGGGCACCAGCAGCAGGCAGCAUCAGAAAAAGAAACUUGCAUAACUCAGCUCAGGAAAGAGUUAUCUGAAAAUAUCAACGCUGUCACCUCAAUGAGAGAGGAACUCCAGGAAAAAGAAUCAGAGAUCUCUGCUCUCAACAGAACAAUUAAUGAGCUUAAUGUUAAACUUGAAAGUAUGGUAAGUUUAACAGAGAAGGAAGAAGCCAUGUCUGUGUUAAGCAAGCAACAUCAAGAGGAUCGAUUGCAGUUGUUAAACCAGGUACAGGAGUUAUCGACCAGUGUUGAGACGCUGAGUCAGGAAAAAGCAUCAGCUCUCGAGCAGGUAGAUCAUUGGACAGCCAAGCUGUCAGAGUGGAAGAUGAAAGCACAAACAAGAUUUACACAAAAUCAUGAAGCUAUUAAAGAUUUGCAGAGCAAACUUGAACUAAGCAAUACCCAAGCCAAUAGAAAAGAUGAAGAGCUAAAUAAGUUGAAAGAGGAGCUGGCUAAACAAGGCAAAAGUCUGGAUAGCUUAAAAAGUGCAUUGGAACAAAAGCAAAACAGGAUAGAAAAACAAGAAAGUGAGUUAACUGCAGAGUUAAAAAUCCAAGCAGCAAGAGUUGCCGAACUAGAAGAAUGCAUUGCUCAGAAAACUUCAGAAAAUGAUUCCUUGAUGGAGGAACUUAAAAAGUAUAAUGAACAGAAAGAGACAGAGCAAAAAGAGGUAGCUUGGCAACUCCAGCAGGCAGAGAAGGUGGCUUUUGAAAAAGACAAUAGGUUUAAAGAGGCUGAAGAAAAGGUGCUCGAUCUUGAAAAGAAAAUAGAUUCAAUCAAAGCUGAAUUUGAAGCAAAAGAGAGGGAAUUUGUUCAAAUGAAAUCAUCAAUACUUAAAAGCAAGGAGGAAGAACUGAAAGAAUUAGAAGAGAGACUGAAUGCAGAGAGUGGCACUAAGUUGGCAGAUCUGAAAAAAAAGGCAGAGCAAAAAAUCGGUUCUAUUAAAAAGCAAUUAAUGUCUCAGAUGGAAGAAAGGGAACAGCAAUUUAAGCAAGAUAGAGAAAAUCAGUUAAGAGACUUAGAACAAAAAGUGCAGGAAAGAGAGGCCAAAAUUGGAUCCUUAAAAGAACAAAUCCAAAAGUCAACAAGAGAGUCUACAGAAUUAGAGAAGGAAAUGCUGCAAAAAGUAGAGAGUGCAAAAGCUGCUGUAGAGCAAGAAAAAAAUGAAAUGCUUGAGAGUGUCCAGCGGACGUAUGAAGAGAAAAUUCAUGUGUUACGGAAGGACCUGACAGAAAAAGAUGAAUUGUUGCAGAAGUAUGAAAAGGAACAACAAGAAUGUAAAGACUGUCAUCUGGAACUGCAAAACAAACUGGAGGAACUCCUUAAAAAAUUAGAAUGUGUUGAGAAGAGAAAUCACGAGGAGCAGAGUGUGACUGAAAGCCUCAGGAAAGAGCUUAAGGAGCAAACUAAAAAAUACUCAUUGUUAGUGGAUGAGCAUGCUCGGUGUGGUGGUGAUUUAGCAAGCAGUAGGGAAGAAUUGAAAGCUAAAGAACAAAAGCAUUUGGAUAUGGAGAACAUAAUUGGAGAUUUCCAGAAAAAAUUGCAGGAAAAAGAGUCAGUCAGUCAAUCUUUAGAACAGAAGGUAAGAGAGUUGGAAAAUAAUCUGGUGAGGGUAAAUGAAGUGCACAGGAUGGAGAUGGAUGAUGCGAGUUCGAAAUACAAAUUAAAACUAGAAAGUUUACAGCAACAGCUGGAGGAAAGAAAUGACCGCUUGAAAGCUUUUGAGGAAAACGUUGAAGAAAAGACUAAAUCUGGUUUGGAGCUGCAGAAGUUACUAGGUGAUAUGCAGAACCAGCAGAAGGAUUUGCAGGCUAAACUGGAAGAGACUGAAAGAGAGAAACAAAAACUACGUAAAGAUGUAAACAAUCUUCAAAAAGACUUGCGUACUUUGCGAAAAGAGCAUCAGCAGGAGCUUGACAUAGUUAAGAAAGAGUCCUUAGAAGAAAUGGAGCAGAAAAUCAGGUGGGAACAAGAAGAUACUGAAUUAAAGCACAACUCCACGUUAAAGCAGUUAAUGAGAGAGUUCAAUACUCAGCUGGCUCAAAAAGAAAUGGAAUUGGAAACAGCCUUAAAAGAGACGAUCAGUAAAGCCCAGGAAGUAGAAUCUGAAUUGAUAGAAAACCAUCACAUAGAGACAAUGCAGUUGCAUAAAAAAAUCGCAGAAAAAGACGAUGAUCUAAAAAGAACUGUGGAAAAAUAUGAAGAAAUGCUUGAGGCUCGUGAAGAAGAAAUGACAGCAAAAGUUCAUGAGUUGCAGGCACAGUUAGAAGAAUUGCAAAAGGAAUACAAGCAAAGGAUGGCAGAAGAGGAGCAUCGAAACCAUGAAAAUGUGACAAUAGCAGAACUUAAGGCACAGCUGGCACAGAAGACAACACUAGUCAAUGAUUCAAAGUUGAAAGAGCAGGAGCUCAAAGAGCAGAUUCACGUACUGGAAGACCAGCUGAAAAAUUUUGAGAAGAAUGUUUAUGUUACAUCAGUUGGAACGCCAUAUAGAGAUGGAAACCUUCACCGUACUGAUGUUUCUCUCUUUGGAGAGCCUACUGAAUUUGAAUACUUGAGGAAAGUGCUCUUUGAAUAUAUGAUGGGUCGUGAGACUAAGACAAUGGCCAAGGUUAUAACAACAGUUCUGAAGUUCCCAGCUGAUCAGACUCAGAAGAUACUAGAACGAGAAGAUGCUCGACCAUUGUCUAACUGCGGCAAUCUCAUUUGUAAGCAGUAGAUGUCCACAGAGUUCUUACCUACACUAUUAACCACGUAGUCCAAUAAGCUGUUUUCUUCCUGGCUUUGUAGUUUGCCUCACCUCGCAGUGGUAUCUUCUGAAUAUUCCAUCAGUCUGUGCUUAGUUAGCAUGUGGUCAUGGCUACGACCAUCUUGAAGAAAUUGUGAUGAGAAUGUCUCAUAACAGUGCUGCUUAGAAAUUCGUUCAUAUCUCCCUUGUUGCCCCUUUUGAGGGGACAAGAAGAGAAGCUGUUAUUCAAGGUCACAAAUGGAACAGCAAGAACCAAAGCUUAGCACCACCUUUGGACCAUGGAUAUAGUUAAAACUGCCUUGACAAGAAACGCUAAUCAGGGGUUAUCUGGUGAUGAGUCUUUUUUCUCUUCUAUUGAAUACUGUCUUCUAUUUUGUGUUAAAGGUUAUUUUUUUAAAAGAGAGAAAAGACUAUCCUAGGAGGGAAUUGCCCGCUACUGUAUCUCUAUACAGAUUUCACUGGGUGUUUUUUAAGAGUUGAACUAAAUGGUUUGUCUCUUCUAUUUAUUUUUUUAUUUUUUUGAAUGAAUUGUGCAAUACAUUUUUGGAUGGAUAGCAGUUGAGGUGAUUUUCCUGAUGAACUGGGCACUUGUUUGACUACUCCUUUUCUGAUUUGAUCUUCUGAUUGUUUGCUAAAGAUCACUUCCUAUAUGCUUUUGCCUACAAUAAAUCGAGAUUGCAGUACCUCAUUUGUUUACUCCUAGCUUUUGUACUUAUAUUUUCUGGAGAAAAAGUACAUUACUGUAAAUUGUAAAUAGUUAAUACAUAACUGUAUCAUAUGCUGAUCUGACUGUCGACAGCACUAAUCUGACAGGAGCUGAGAUUAAAUAAAGUUUAUUUACUGUA